AUGCAAAGAUACUUAUUGGUCUUUGACUUAAGUUUGACCAGAUAUGAGUAGUGUCACAAAGCUCUAGUACUGGCAAUAUUAAAUAACAUGUCAGAUGGAGCACGCUUUCAAACUCCUACGAGUCACCAUCCUGAGGGGCAGUAAUAGGAGAGAGCAUCCUUCCAGCUCAUCUGCAUACCAUUAGGAAGGCUCGUCUGCAUACCAUUAGGAAGGUGCUCAAACAGAGCAGGAUGCAUGAAGGCCAGCUGACCCAGAGCUCACCUCCCAGGUUCCCUCUUUGCACAAAUCCACCAACCCUUCCACUCGGUCUGGAAUAGCAAGGACAGAAUGGAGAGAGGCUAUUUCCUCUUUAUGUGUGUAACAAAAGUACAUUUUGGUGCCACCAAAAAGGAAGAAAAAUCAAUGAACUUUGUUUUAAUCUGACACUUGGCUUAUUCAGGCACACGUACAGUAAAAGCAAUUACAAAUCUGACAAACCAGACCAUUGAAAAAUUAUGAAGAUUAUGAGAUGAAUUAUUGCUUUAUCCCUCGGCCCCCCUCAACUCUUUGUGCUAGGAGGAUGACAUCAUCGAUUGAAAGAAUAAUUGGUUCUCCAGAUGCUUGAAUGAUACCGAGGGUUCUUUCUUCUCAUAUUAAUGUUCUUUACCUGCAUCACUUUGCCUAUUUCAGAUGUGCACAGUGAUGCAGUUUUAUGACUGCACCCUCAGCAAUAAUCCUUAUUGAUUGUCACCAUCAGUUGUUUGGCUCCAGCCUCAAACCAGUCAAAACUAAGCCUGUGCCUAGAUAUGGGAGGAAUAAGAGACAAAAACAGAUUCAUCUGUGAAAAAAAAGUGUUCAAAGAAACAGCCACAAUAUAUGAGAGACUGAUAUUUCAGUUUAACCCCCAGGACAGAGGCACAGUGGACCAAACUUCAGCCACUGCUAUUAGCUGUUGGACACAGAGAGUUGGUGAUGUUCCCUUGGGAGUCAGCAGAAGGCACAGGCACAGCCCUCUGCAACUGAGGGUGAAUCAACCUCUGAAAGCACCUAUUUUUGGCUCUGAUGGCAUGGUGCUCACACGAUAAGUGCUAGGUCUGGCCACCUCUCAGGCUGUUAACUUCUCUUGAAAUGAAUUCCACUCAACAGCUGUCUGUGGCUCACAUUCAUGCACUGGCCACACUUUGCAUCUUGAGGAAAGAACCGUAUGCAAUGGUGAUUACAGAACUACACAACUACACAAAAAUAUGAAUUGCAGUUGAGUGCAUGAUUGCUUUUUUGUAUCCCACGGUAGUGUUUUGCCCAGUGGAAGGAUGGAUGUAUGCAGGUGGACUGCUGUAAAAGUAUGGAGCUGUCCUUAGCCCCAUCUGGCCUUAAAAAAUGGGUUCAGUAUGAGUAAUAGAUGAACUGUGCCACAGAGCUGAGGGAGAAGUCCAUUAUCCUCCAAAUAAAGCCCAUAAGCAAAGGCC
Long non-coding RNA from Gallus gallus (chicken), 1445 nucleotides. The record is from Ensembl. NCBI's taxonomy places the organism in Eukaryota, Metazoa, Chordata, Aves, Galliformes, Phasianidae.